AACGAACGCUGGCGGCAGGCUUCAUACAUGCAAGUCGAACGGGUGUAGCAAUACAUCAGUGGCGCACGGGUGCGUAACGCGUGGGAAUAUGCCCUUUGGUACGGGACAACAUCGGGAAACUGAUGCUAAUACCGUAUAAUAUCUGCGGAUCAAAGAUUUAUCGCCAAAGGAUUAGCCCGCGUUGGAUUAGGUAGUUGGUGAGGUAAAGGCUCACCAAGCCGACGAUCCAUAGCUGGUCUGAGAGGAUGAUCAGCCACACUGGGACUGAGACACGGCCCAGACUCCUACGGGAGGCAGCAGUAAGGAAUAUUGGACAAUGGAGGAAACUCUGAUCCAGCCAUGCCGCGUGAGUGAAGAAGGCCUUCGGUUGUAAGACGUCUUUACCCCUCGUACGAUAAUAGAC
RNAcentral lists this ribosomal RNA (403 nucleotides) under uncultured bacterium. Its description in RNAcentral is "bacterial SSU rRNA". It matches the Rfam family "Bacterial small subunit ribosomal RNA", at positions 29 to 457 of the family's 1533-position model. The record is from RNAcentral.